This 689-nucleotide ribosomal RNA is filed under the name uncultured Microbacteriaceae bacterium. RNAcentral describes it as "bacterial SSU rRNA". It matches the Rfam family "Bacterial small subunit ribosomal RNA", at positions 95 to 798 of the family's 1533-position model. The record is from RNAcentral. Lineage: Bacteria; Bacillati; Actinomycetota; Actinomycetes; Micrococcales; Microbacteriaceae.
GUGGCGAACGGGUGAGUAACACGUGAGCAAUCUGCCCUUGACUCUGGGAUAACUGCGGGAAACUGUAGCUAAUACCGGAUACUUUCCUCGCUGGGCAUCCAGCGGGGAAGAAAGAAUUUCGGUCAAGGAUGAGCUCGCGGCCUGUCAGCUAGUUGGUGAGGUAAUGGCUCACCAAGGCGACGACGGGUAGCCGGCCUGAGAGGGUGACCGGCCACACUGGAACUGAGACACGGUCCAGACUCCUACGGGAGGCAGCAGUGGGGAAUAUUGCACAAUGGGCGAAAGCCUGAUGCAGCAACGCCGCGUGAGGGAUGAAGGCCUUCGGGUUGUAAACCUCUUUUAGCAGGGAAGAAGCGAAAGUGACGGUACCUGCAGAAAAAGCACCGGCUAACUACGUACCAGCAGCCGCGGUAAUACGUAGGGUGCAAGCGUUGUCCGGAAUUAUUGGGCGUAAAGAGCUCGUAGGCGGUUUGUCACGUCUGCUGUGAAAAUCCGAGGCUUAACCUCGGACUUGCAGUGGGUACGGGCAGGCUAGAGUGCGGUAGGGGAGAAGGGAAUUCCUGGUGUAGCGGUGGAAUGCGCAGAUAUCAGGAGGAACACCAAUGGCGAAGGCACUUCUCUGGGCCGUAACUGACGCUGAGGAACGAAAGCGUGGGGAGCGAACAGGAUUAGAUACCCUGGUAGUCCAC